Molecule: long non-coding RNA, 1367 nt
Filed under: Equus asinus (donkey)
Lineage: Eukaryota; Metazoa; Chordata; Mammalia; Perissodactyla; Equidae
Description: lncRNA (ENSEASG00005030420.1)
Source: RNAcentral
UUUUAGCUCUGUGUUUUGUGAUCAUGAUGACAUCUGCUCAAAUGUGGACUUGUAAAAACAGAGCCCCAUAUGCUCAAAGGAAUCCUCACACAGGAUGCAUACGUUAUAUCCAUGGAGUGAGUUACUCUUGGUUUGUAGCAGAAAUGUCCAUCAUUUCUGUUUAAUACACACAUUCUCCUGGGAAUCGUGCUCUUAGAUAAAGCUGCCAUAUCUUGUGUGAACAUUAUAGAGAGGAAGAUAAUGGGCAUGACUGGCAUGUGUCUAGUUAUAGUAUUCUUUAGUUGGCUGAGUUCUUUCUUCAGAGUUAAAGAACAUGAGGAUCCAUUCGGCAUUCUCAUGGAUUCAAAAGAAUCCUAGAGAUACAGACAAUGAAGCAAGAAAUUGUUAAAAAUGUGAAACAGAAGAAUGUGAACUCAUUUUUUUUUUUUUUUGAUUAGCCCUGAGCUAACUACCACCAAUCCUCCUCUUUUUGCUGAGGAAGACUGGCCCUGAGCUAAUAUCCAUGCCCAUCUUCCUCUACUUUAUACGUGGGACACCUACCACAGCAUGGUGUGCCAAGCAGUGCCAUGUCCGCAGCCGGGAUCCGAACCAGCGAACCCUGGGUCGCUGAAGCGGAACGUGCAAACUUAAUGCUGUGCCACCGGGCCGGCCCUCUGAACUCAACUUUUUUAAGUGACUGAGACUUAGCCAAAGGAGACAUGAGGUGCCUCGGCAGUAACAAGCCAUUUUCUCUCAGAAUCUGUGAAGUCUUAUGGUCCUUCUGGUUGUGCUAUGUGGGACACAGCUUCAGCAUGGCUUGACGAGUGAUGAUAGGUCCACGCCCAGGAUCCGAACCAGUGAAACCCUGGGCCACUGAAGCAGAACGCAUAAACUUAACCAUUCAGCCAUGGGGCCGGCCCCGGGAAGAACCUCUUUAAAACCUGAGCUCCAUCCACAUGCCCAGCAUUAUUAGGUCUAUAAAAAUGGUAUCAGAAUCCUAAUGCUGGAUGAUGUGACCAUUUCAGCAGUUUUGAAUGUAGCUGAAGUUAAAAAAAGAAAUGUACCACUCAUUUAUUUGGUAAGUUGUCCCAGAACUGCAGAUCAGGUAAAAUAAAUCCAAUUUGUUAGUGUUAGUUUGCUACUUAAGGGAAAGAAAUCUAACUUACAGAAAAGCCCCACCUCCCCUCCACAUUUAGAAAUCUAUCUAAAGACUGUCUUUAAUGCCCACUAUAUAAACAACAUUAAAUAUUCUAAGUUAGAAAAUAGUGUUAAUGGUUUAUUGGUAAAAAUCCAAACUCUAGACUUUAUGGAACUAGUAGUUUGGUGGGUAUAUUAACAUUCCAUCUUAAUCUUUGCUAAUAUUACAAAGAAAGAGGAAACACUAGAAA